Molecule: non-coding RNA, 3558 nt
Organism: Paralichthys olivaceus (Japanese flounder)
Lineage: Eukaryota; Metazoa; Chordata; Actinopteri; Pleuronectiformes; Paralichthyidae
Source: RefSeq, a predicted model, not a curated record
CCGGGGCAGACGAGUCGAGCUUGUUCCGACGAUGAGGAGAGAAAGAGAAAGAUUCGCUCCAACGAUUCAGGUGAAAUUAAGAGAUUCACGCGAGAAACACACGCGCGGGUUCGUGAGGGGUGACGGCUGAUCUGUGUUCGCAGGGCCGGACCGUGCGGGGAUGAGCGGGGUGCCAUGCAGAGGAGACACAGCAGCAACACGGAUGGCAUGCCCUCUGAAAGGAGCCGAAGCCAAACUCUAGGAUCAGAGAGCAGCCUUGAUGAGGGUGGUGUCUUUGACUGCCUGAAGCCCGACUCAGCUGCCUCACCCCAGCAAAUGUUCUCUGGCCUUGUGGGUGUUCCCUCCGGUUCCGUCUCCUCCGCCCAGUUCCAGGCAGCCGGCUUAGUCCUGGGCUCUCCCCCUGAAGUUUUUAUCCAGAUGACUGCAUCAUCCAGAGAAGAAGGGGGCCCCCACCGCUCUGAGGGUGGACCUUUUCUCCCUCGUCCGCCGCCGCACCACCAUCACCACCACCAUCACCACUUCCACCACCAGCCCCUGCAGCACAGGACAUCCUCUCUGCUCCAGCAGGCCACCACGACGGCCGGCUCGGAGAGGCAUGGCUCCAGGGAGGAGGGCCAGGAAGACCCGUCCACGCCGGCCCCAGCCCUGUCUGAGCUGAAGGCAGUGGUCACCUGGCUGCAGAGGGGUUUCCCCUUCAUCCUCAUCCUGCUGGCUAAAGUCUGCUUUCAGCAUAAGCUCGGUAUUGCUGUGUGCUUGGGAAUGGCCAGUACAUUCGCUUAUGCCAACUCCACAUUCAGGCACCAGGUGUCAUUACGGGAGGAACGUUCUGUUUUUGUUGCUCUUUGGAUCUUGAUGUUCCUUGCAGGGAAUAUAUUCUACAUCUACUACACAUUUAGUCACGAGGAGCUGCACAACAGCCUUAUAUUUGCCAAGCCCAACCUCAGCAGCUUUGACUUCUUCGACCUGAUCUGGGCCGUGGGCAUCACUGACUUUGUCCUGAAAUAUUUCACCAUCAGCCUGAAAUGCUUCAUUCUCUUUUUGCCCAAGAUUCUUCUGGCGUUCAAAUCCAGGGGUAAGUUCUACCUGCUGAUCGAGGACCUGAGCCAGCUGUUCAGGGCGCUGGUGCCCAUCCAGCUGUGGUACAAGUACAUCAUGGGGGAAGACCCGUCUAACAGCUACUUCCUGGGAGCCACGCUCAUCAUCAUCUACAGCCUCUGCAAGUCCUUUGACAUCUGCGGACGUGUAUCAGCCAUAUGUAAAGCCUUGGCUGUGCUUUGCAGCUCCCAGAGUUAUGGAGUGAGGGCCGGCAGUCAGCAGUGCAGCGAGGCGGGUGAUGUCUGUGCCAUUUGUCAGGCUGAUUUCAGAGACCCCGUCGCUCUUCUCUGUCAGCACGUGUUCUGUGAGGAGUGCCUGUGCUUGUGGUUCGACCGGGAGAGAACGUGUCCGCUGUGUCGCUCCACCGUCAUUGAGACCAUGCGAUGCUGGAAGGACGGCACCACCUCGGCUCACUUCCAGAUAUACUGAGCCGUGACCGCAGGACGAUUUGCUCCCGCAAAGAUGCAACUGUGCUGCAACACAAGUUAAAGAUGGUGUGUCGUGUUUUUCUGUUUUGGUAAUUCUUGAAAUCAGGUUUUAGCACAAUUGGAGUAACACACACUGCAUGUGGUCGUUUUUAAUCUUGGAGCCAAGUUGAGCUUCAUAAGAAGCUGCUGUUAGGAGCCACAUGCAUUAACAAAGCUGUUGACCAUUUUGCGGUUGUGGCAAUAGUCCCAUUUAUGUGUACAUGCUGAUUUAGCCUCUGUUGUACAUUUAUUUUACACAGGAUUGAGUGUGGUGAUAAUGUAAAUAAUCCCAGCAAUCAGAUUUUUUUGUUUUUCUUUUUGAUUUUGUCACAUAUGUAUCGUGCCUGUAAAACCUUCUUUUUUAAUUUUUUUUGUUUGCUAUUUAAUUUAAAGGUUAGAGAUAUUUAUUUGAACAAAGAGAAAUGUCCCACAAAAUAUUGCAAGUAGAAAACAACAUCAAACAUUUGUUCUGUCUGUAGAUUGAAGCUAAAAAAAACCUUGAGGUUUUUUAGAUAAGGUGUAAUGAACAUUAGAUGGUGUGUGAUUUCCAAAUAUGUUCACAUUUUCAUUUAUCAGUGUUCAUGUCUGCAUCUGUGGGUACUCUUAACAUGAGUCAUUUCCUUUAGAAUAAUGUGAACCUGUUUUGAAUUAAAGCACUUUAGCUCGCUGUAUCAAGCACACUUCUUAUCUAACUGUAAUGACACCAGCUCAGAACUUAUUUCAGAAAGAGUUUUAUUAUUUGUAACUACUUAAAAAUCCAUAUGAAAUAUUUAAGAAGUAUAAAUAACACACACAUUAUAAAAGACAUUACACGUUAUAUCAGAGAAAGCUUAUUUCCAGAAAUCACAGACAGCAUCAACAGUAUAGCUUCCAAUGCACAGGUCCUUUAUCAUCAAUUAUUAUCAAAGCCACUUAACACUGCCCCCAACGGAUAUAACAUCAUGUAAACACUGUAGAAAACACCCAUAAAAACAUUCAUCGUCUCAUGUUAUUUACAUUUGCACUUACAGUAUAGCUUAUGUAAAAAGUACAGUGCACGAUGAAGCUCGGGUCUAUUUCGGUGCAUUUAUUGUCAGCAUUGCACUAAUUUUAGCUUUAGAUACACUUGAAUCAGUUCAAACCCUUUCGUGGUUAAUGCAUCGACGCCGUGGGAGAAAGCAUUCGCAGCAGUCCUAUUAGUAAGCUUUUCCCUCCACUCUACCAGGGGAGGAUUACAUCACUGUUUUGUAACCUGCAGGAUGACAGAAUGGGAGAGAGGCGCAGGGGGCAGGACGUGCAGCUCACUGACUGACUGCAGGGCUUCAGUGUGUCAGCUCCUUAUGAGACUCUUAGUGCUUCCACAUUGGACCUGAGUGUCUCCUCGCGACCAGCAGCACGAGCACGGUCAGGUGCAGGGCCGUGCACAGGAAGCUCCUCAGGUGGCCGCGCCCGGACACAUGAACCACCUCCGCCCCGGUUCUGUCCCCGGCUCUGUCCCCGGCUCUGUCCCCGCAGCCGCCGGCCGCCCUGCCCUUCUCCAGCUGGUCCCCGAUCCUCCGCAGGCGCGACGCCAGCAGCUGCGCCACCGAGCAGGGCGUCGGUGUGCGGCCGCUGAGGGUGCAGUGCCCGGGCAGCAGCAGAGGCUGGUCUGUGGGCAGCCAGCACAUCCUGUCUCCUCUGUCUCUCUCUCAGAAUAUCAGUCUGAACAAGCCUCGUUCUCCUCUCUCAUCAAACCUCAACUGUGAUUCUAUCCCCCCCUUUCUCUCCCUUUCUCUCUGUCCCUCUCCCUCCUGUAUUAUUCAUUACAGUGUCACGUGAUGUGGGGUUUACAUCAUCUUUUCCCAAAAGAGACAUGUGAUGGUUAACUGUUGGAUCUGAUCUGAGUCUUUUGUUAUGAGCGGGGACAUUGUCUCCUCUCUUUGUCUGCUUUAUUUAUUUAUUAUUGUCCAACAUGACUCCACGUGCACACAUCUGCAUGAAACAAAUAAAUAUCUGAAUGUAUUUUCACAGAAAUCAC